This 907-nucleotide ribosomal RNA is filed under the name uncultured bacterium. RNAcentral describes it as "bacterial SSU rRNA". It matches the Rfam family "Bacterial small subunit ribosomal RNA", at positions 33 to 969 of the family's 1533-position model. The record is from RNAcentral.
ACGCUGACAGAAUGCUUAACACAUGCGAGUCUACUUGAACUUCGGUUUGGGUGGCGGACGGGUGAGUAACGCGUAAAGAACUUGCCUUACAGUUAGGGACAACAUUUGGAAACGAAUGCUAAUACCUGAUAUUAUGAUUUUAGGGCAUCCUAAGAUUAUGAAAGCUAUAUGCACUGUGAGAGAGCUUUGCGUCCCAUUAGCUAGUUGGAGAGGUAACGGCUCACCAAGGCGAUGAUGGGUAGCCGGCCUGAGAGGGUGAACGGCCACAAGGGGACUGAGACACGGCCCUUACUCCUACGGGAGGCAGCAGUGGGGAAUAUUGGACAAUGGACCAAAAGUCUGAUCCAGCAAUUCUGUGUGCACGAUGACGUUUUUCGGAAUGUAAAGUGCUUUCAGUUGGGAAGAAAAAAAUGACGGUACCAACAGAAGAAGUGACGGCUAAAUACGUGCCAGCAGCCGCGGUAAUACGUAUGUCACAAGCGUUAUCCGGAUUUAUUGAGCGUAAAGCGCGUCUAGGUGGUUAUGUAAGUCUGAUGUGAAAAUGCAGGGCUCAACUCUGUAUUGCGUUGGAAACUGCAUGACUAGAGUACUGGAGAGGUAAGCGGAACUACAAGUGUAGAGGUGAAAUUCGUAGAUAUUUGUAGGAAUGCCGAUGGGGAAGCCAGCUUACUGGACAGAUACUGACGCUAAAGCGCGAAAGCGUGGGUAGCAAACAGGAUUAGAUACCCUGGUAGUCCACGCCGUAAACGAUGAUUACUAGGUGUUGGGGGUCGAACCUCAGCGCCCAAGCUAACGCGAUAAGUAAUCCGCCUGGGGAGUACGUACGCAAGUAUGAAACUCAAAGGAAUUGACGGGGACCCGCACAAGCGGUGGAGCAUGUGGUUUAAUUCGACGCAACGCGAGGAAC